GUACGGGAGGCAGCAGAGGAGAAUCAUUCGCAAUGGGCGAAAGCCUGACGGUGCGACGCCGCGUGAGGGAUGAAGGCCUUCGGGUUGUAAACCUCUGUCAAGAGUAUGGAAUGCCGGGGAUGUUAACACCAUCUCCGGGUGACUAAGGCUCUAAAGGAAGCCACGGCUAACUACGUGCCAGCAGCCGCGGUAAUACGUAGGUGGCUAGCGUUACUCGGAAUCACUGGGCAUAAAGGGCGUGUAGGCGGACGCGUAAGUCCGGUGUAAAAGCCCCCGGCUCAACCGGGGAAGGUCAUUGGAUACUGCGUGUCUUGAGUGCGGAAGAGGAGAGUGGAACUCUUGGUGGAGCGGUGAAAUGCGUAGAUAUCAAGAGGAACGCCGGUGGCGAAAGCGGCUCUCUGGUCCGUUACUGACGCUGAGGCGCGAAAGCCAGGGGAGCAAACGGGAUUAGAUACCCCGGUAGG
RNAcentral lists this ribosomal RNA (464 nucleotides) under uncultured bacterium. RNAcentral's name for it is "bacterial SSU rRNA". It matches the Rfam family "Bacterial small subunit ribosomal RNA", at positions 339 to 794 of the family's 1533-position model. The record is from RNAcentral.